Long non-coding RNA from Vitis riparia (riverbank grape), 841 nucleotides. RefSeq lists it as uncharacterized. The record is from RefSeq and is a predicted model, not a curated record. Lineage: Eukaryota; Viridiplantae; Streptophyta; Magnoliopsida; Vitales; Vitaceae. The transcript is spliced from 2 exons.
CUCAGCAUUUCUGACUCUUUGGCAUGAAUAUGCUGAUUUGGUCACAGCGGAUGUUCCUAUUGCUGCUCUUUCAACUAUUCAGACUAUUCACGCGACUACCCGGCGUGAUCAGUUUCUUAUGAAACUACGUCCGGAAUAUGAAUCUGUCCGCUCCUCUUUACUGAAUAGAUCUCCUGUUCCCUCUCUUGAUAUUUGUUUUGGUGAGUUACUUCGCGAAGAGCAACGCCUUAGUACUCAAGCUAUUUUGGAGCAAUCUCAUGGCAGUUCCGGGACGACAACUGUAGCUUAUGCUGCCCAAGGCCGCGGACCACCUAUGCAUUCUAAAAACUUGCAGUGUUUUUGCUGCAAGGAAUAUGGGCAUAUUGCUGCCACUUGCCCUAAGAAGUUUUGUUCUUAUUGUAAGAAGAAGGGUCACAUUAUCAAAGAAUGUCGUAUUCGCCUCCAGAAUCGUCAGGCCCACGCAUUUCAGACUUCGGUUAUUAUCCCUCCUGUAGCAACUUCUGCAACACACGACUCUCCUUCAGCUGCGUGCUCUAUUCCUGCACCUCCUGCACCCCAGAAAUGGUGCAACAGAUGUUAAUUUCAGCAUUAUCAGCAAUGGGGUUUCAAGGACCAGGUAACGGGGAAGCCGAUCGCAAAGGGACCUAAAGUGGGGCGCUUGUUUCCACUAUUUUUACCUGUUCCAGAUUUUUCUCCACUUUCUUCUAUUAAGUCUUUUGCUUGUAAUAAUGUUUCAGAUCUUAGUAUGGUGUGGCAUCGUCGUUUAGGCCAUCCCAAUACUCAAAUCUUAUCUCAUGUAUUGAACUCUGAUUUACCUGGUAAUAAGGAUCGUUAUUCUUUA